Molecule: unclassified non-coding RNA, 9541 nt
Filed under: Daphnia magna
Lineage: Eukaryota; Metazoa; Arthropoda; Branchiopoda; Diplostraca; Daphniidae
Source: RNAcentral
UACAAUGUAUUCCAUACGGAAUACAUAUACUAAAAUUGGAACGAUACAGAGAAGAUUAGCAUGGCCCCUGCGCAAGGAUGACACGCAAAAUCGUGAAGCGUUCCACAUUUUUUUGAUUUUUUUACAACCGAUUUUCACCCAACAUGCAAGUCAGAUCCAACACAGUAACAUACAACAUGAAUGCGGACAAUCAAAGCGUACAGAAAACAGUCUGACGAGGUGGCGAAGAAUGUAUUAAGAAUAGUCAUAGGACAGGAGUAAAAAAGAGGUGAUAGAAGAGAUAAAGGCGAGGCUAAACAACAACCCUUAUAAAGUGAGACAAAAACCAGUAAAAACAAAAAUCGCGAAAAUGGUCAAAAGGCGGGAAAAGAACAAAAGGGGGAUGUCGACGUCUGCCAUUGCAUUUUUCUUUCUGCAGUCAUCCAAACAGCCACGUGUGAGUGCUCAGUCAGGGAUUGCGCGCCCAUUGCUGUAGACCUGUAGUUCUUCUCAUAUAGAGGAGUAUGUGUGACGAUGAGUGCGUCCAUCGCAAAAUGUUUUCUGGUGCUGUGCAAUAUAAUGGAAGUUUUGACUGCAGCUUUACAUGUGAGCUAUUGACAGUAGAAAGUUUUCUUGUUCGUCAUUAAAUUAAUUAAUUUAAUAGAACAAUCUGUGACUGCAUGACAAAGUGGGUGGUUUGGACAAUGCAUAUGGGAAAUAAGGUGAAAUAUGAUGGUACUGUCUUGGGAGACAAUCAAAUGGCAUAAUAGCUUUGUGUCCAACCAACAUUGCUUAUCUAUCACUAGCUUUGAUAACUGACCCAUGGAAUCCACCCUGUUUUUAUAAGCUGAUUCAUAUCAGUUAUAGAUAGCUGUUUUGUUUUGUUCGUUUGGUAAGCUUGAAACAUUUAAUGGUUUUCCUAGACGCUUGGUGGUUAGAUUUGUCGUACACUAUACUAACGGAAAAAGGUUUUCAAGCGUGUUCCGCAUAUUCUCUGACUCAACAUCGAAUAGAGAAAUGUAAGUCUUUCUUAACUAAGUUAUAACUAGCACAAAUAGCAAAAGUGUGGUGAACUUGAUUCACAACUAUGGCUGUGGUGUACCAGUUUUCCCUCAUGGACCGUUUUGAUUGCAUCAGGCAUGUUCCGUCCAAGAAUAUUUGUCAUGAAACUUGUUGUUUGCGUUAAAGCCUCGCAGACGAGAUAACAAACCUUUUUAGCCCAGAAGCCAAUCCAUUUUAGUUCAAUGUCAUUUCAGCAAGAUAGCAGACGCAGCCGAGUAAGGAGAGGCUGUUGCAUGCCCAGCAGCUGGAACAGCAUUUUCAAACAGAACAAUUUGUGCAUUAAAGAGUUGAACAGCAACGCCUUGAGUUUCCUACACUCUUUUGCGUGGAUGAUACCUUUUUCGAUUAUGAUUAAGUGAAAAUUAGUUUAAAAAUAUUUGUUUAACGUUUUUAAUCCAUCAUACAGUGUAUACUGCGACAUAGUGGAGCGCUGUGAUAGUGUUUCCUCCGUAUUCAGAUGGACGGUGGAAAAUUUCAAUGACGCAAGCGGAUAUAUGACCUUUCCGUUGAAAAAGAGAUACCAUCUCAUUGGCGCUCGCUAACGUUGGUGUUUACUAAGUCUGUGAAAGACUGAAAGACAUAAAGCAGAUGGCGAAUGAAGGCCGUCUGGCAAUAGCUUUGCUGUGAAUAGCUGACCCACAUCGAAUGUAUUCCAUUUUCGUUAGCUGAUCGAGGUGCAGGAACAGCGUUGUCUAUCUGAAUGUUGAGUUAUUCUAGCCAUUAAUUAGGCAUUUGUCGGCCACACACCAAUCAAGCAGUCCAUGUGCCAGUGAAAGUAUCGUACCCGUCGGUUAUAAUCACACACGCCAAACAACUACACACUGUGAUAAAAAUGGAUGGUGAGGAAAGGAGCCGUGGCUCUUUAAACGCUGUGCCCGCCACAUCAUCCCGUCGGUACGAACCAUCAGAAGAUAUUUUUCCAGAGAUGCUCAGCUGGAUUCAGGAUGCAAAUACUGACCAGAAACUGGCUGAGAAUGCAGUCAGUCAUAUCAGUUCAAAGUUGGAACGGGCACUUAAUCCUUUAGAGACGACGGGCGUCGAAUCGCAAUACGUCAAGGCCGUCUUGACAACGUGGGCAGAGGCCAGUUUAAAAAGCGCAUUUAAUUACUUGGAGGAUGAAAGAACUGACCUUUGCAAAGAAAUGCCUAACAUCUUAGACGAACUGGAUUCCGUCAAUUCCGUCGAAGAUAUCGACGCCAAACUAAAUAAAGAAACAUCACAGCUUUGGACCUGGUUUGACGGAGGCCGCCUUUAUAUUCAACUGAUACUCGAACAGGAAAACUUGUUCAAAAAUACGCCCCGAUUCGCCAUUCUUUUAAACCACUAUUUUAAUAAUGUGAAGAGAUGCUUCAUCAAUAAGGCCUUUGCCCGUUGCAAGGAUGACAUCAUCAACGACGGACUGAAUGGUUCAUCACUGAAAGAAUUCAUUUCAGCACUAACUGAUUUUUUGACCAACGCCAAUGAAGACAAAGAUUUACAAGAUGUUGUGAAGAAUCAUAUGCGUGAAAGCAAUGUAACAACAAGAAGUCGAAAGACAGAUGGGCAGGUCAUCAAAGACGGUCUGAAGGGUCUGUUGACGGAAGAAAACAUCUCGGAUGAAUUCGAUGAAAUGUUUAAAGAUUUUUUACAAGACGAAAGCAAUAUAGCGACGGGUAGCCAAGAAACAGACGGGCAAAAAUGCAAUGGAAUGAAAGAAUGGGUCAAAAAGCUUAUAGAAAUUGUGAGAAACGCGCUGCCUUCAAGUGACAGCAAAGAAAGUUUAAUCCCUGAAUGGCUACUGGGAUUUGAAUCAGCGUCAUCAGAAAUAAAAGAGUGGACCACAAAACUAGAAUUACUGAUCAGAGAGACAUGCGCGAAACUCAUGCUGCCUGAAACCGUAAUCGAAGUGAAACAACAGUAUGGAAGACAAGUCAUGUUCAUCAGUGGCGUUGCCGUUUUUGUUAGCAAAGAAUUGGAGAAAAUGAAAUCAAAAAAGAGAGACGUGGGAGAAAUACAAAUUGUCGGACAAACGUCCGUUCACAUCGACUGUGACUUGGAAAAUGAAAUUUGGCACGGCUUCAACGUGGGCAUCGUUACCGACAAACUUGUCGUUUGGGCAGAUGAUAAGGGCGAGAAUCGAAUAUGGGACGUAUCUGGAAGAUGUCCACGUUUCAAAUCAAGAAGAGAUUGGCAAGAUGCUGGCGAAAGUGGGGGUAAUGUUCAUAUUAAAUGCAAUGAAAUAAUCGGAGCUGACCGAUGGACGAUCGCAUCCAAUGGAGGAGACGGGGUUUCUGCUCUCAAGUGGUCUGAGAAAGAAUUUAAAAGAGUUUUCAGUCCCAUAUUGCCACCGGAUACGGAUAUGAAAAAGAUAGAGGAGACGAGCAACAAGUUUCCGGCCGAUCGGAAAUAAAUGAUCUCUAUACAAAACUGGAGACAAAUAUGAGGAAAGAGUUCGGCAGUGAGGUGUCAAUCGAUUUUUCUACAAGGUCCACGAGGUUAAACGACGGCAGCAAAAUAACGUAUUCACUGUAUAAAAAUAAGAAGAAGAAACGACACACACUCAUUUUAUGCAAAGGAGCGGGUGUCGGACAAGGUGGCUACGGCGGAGACAUCAUCUUGGAAUUGUCGAAUAAAGAGCGUGGCGUCCCUCCCACUGGCAUGGAAAUGUACCAAGCAUUGGACUCGACAGGGGUUGUCUACAAGGCCACUGGUUCAGACGGCAAAAUGGAGCAAGCCAAUGGCGAUGUUGGUUUUAUUCACAAUGAAGAGAAAACCUCAAAAGGAAGUUACGUUGGAUUUGAAAUCGGCCAAAGUCUAAGAAUUCAAUGCCACAAGAAAGAAGAGUUUAAAAAAGAUGAGGUUGCUUCGUAUGUUAGGUUUGAUGCUGGUAUUGUUUUAGGAGAUCGAUUUUAUGCAACAAUAGUCGAUGUACCAGAUGCUGUGCAGCAAGAAGAACAGGAUUCUCUUUCACCGAUGGUAGCGAAGAAGAAAAAUGCCGUAAUUCGUCAGAGCCUCGUCGUUCAGUUGACAAAUAUAAAUGAGAGGAAGCAAAUAUUGGAAUCGCUCCGCAAAACGUUGAUGUCUGAUCUGUUGGAAGAAAAUCAGUCGCAAAAUGUCGACCAAUUGAUUGAAGAAAUUCGAAAUAAUGCGAUCCAAUUCGGUGAGCAAGUGGACCAGCAAUUGAAUCAAGAGAAGGUGGCACAUACCAAACCAGCACCUGUCGUCAGAAGCCGUGCAGCCCACGAAACAAAAGGUGAAGGGCCGAUCAACCUCCAGCUGGAGGAAGACGAAGAGAAAGGGCGGAGCAACCUCAAGCAUUAUGAUAAGCUAGAGGGUCACGAAAAGGAAGUGAAAAAGCUUUUCAAUCGGAUUGAAGAUAAAAGGAAGUCAGCGCUGAAAGCUAAUACAAAAAAAUGGACAGCAGAACGUAAAUUGAGAAAUUUAGAACCAAUAAAUGUCGCAUCGCUAGCCGAAUAUUUCUAUGACUUCGAGUGCGUAUUACAGCACCUUCGUAAUGACAACACCUUCCAACUUCGUAACUACCAGAUUGAGGCAAUACUACAACUGAUCAUCGCCACCAGGGAAGAAAGCGAGAGAAGAUUAGCUGAAAUAUCGACUGGCGCAGGCAAGUCGCUGAUUGUGGCAGCAUCAGCAAUUGCUCUUACGCGUGGCCGUGGCUUCUUUGCCGUGCACGUGAUAACCAGUAACGACUUGUUAGCAAUCCGUGACUCUAAUCUUUCAGUCGCAGAAGGAGGAUUGAAAGAUCUCUACGAAUAUUUCGGGGUGUCGGUGGCAAACAACUGCAGUCAAUCUGAAGACGAUCGCAAAGUAAGUUACACUGCGACUGCGAGAGUUGUUUACGGACAAUUGGCUAAUUUCCAGCGUGAUUUUUUACUGGACAAUUUCUACGGUCGUAACAUUCGUGGUAGUCCACACAUGACAACCAAAGUUGUCAUUAUUGACGAAGUGGAUUGCAUGUUGCUGGACCAAGGCAACAACACGCUUUACUUAUCACACGGCAUUCCCGGUAUGGAAUCUUUAGAAUCUUUGUACGUUUUCAUUUGGGAUGAAAUAUGCAACUCUCCCAUUAAUAAGACCAUCCCGGACUAUCGAGAACAAGUGAAGAAAUCCAUCAAAUCUAACGUGUUAUUUGACCUAUACGGCGUCAUAACUAAAGACGAUUUGAAAUGUUUUGUUCACGUGCCAUUAAACGAUUUGGAAAAAGAUGCGCUGUGGGAUCAUUUAAUCAAGAAUAAAGUGAUUGACCAAAAUGGACGUCUACUAAUCGAUGAUGCCAACCAAAUGACAGAAGAAAAGAUCAACUAUACACCUAAGAAUGCGGCCAAAGAAACAAAUCUUAAUGCAAAAUUGGUUUUCUAUUUACGCAAAGUUGCUAAUCGCCAACGUCAAAUUCGAAUACCUGCCCAUCUACUCGACUUUGUUGACCGGCACUUGGACACUUGGCUGGAAAGCGCUUUUCAGGCCCUGGAUCUACGGCCCGACGAGGACUACGUCAUUGAUCAAGAUCGAACAGACACCAGUCCUGAUCUCAAUCCGCAAGUGAUUAUUAUUGAUCCCGAUACUGGAACGGAUCAAAAUUUGUCUCAAUGGGACGAAGCCUUGCACCAGUUCGUUCAGCUGAAGGAAGGAUGUAAAUUGACGCUGCAAACUCUCAAAGCUGUUUUCAUUUCAAAUGCCACGUACAUCAAUCAAUAUCCUUACAUUUAUGGUCUUUCGGGAACGCUGGGAUCCGAACAAGAAAAACAUUUUUUACAGGAUACGUUCAAGUCCACUUUCUACUACAAUCAUACGCACAUACCUAGACUUUUUGAACAAAAACUAGCCAAAGUCCUGUCGACCGAAAAUGAAUGGCUAGAUGCCAUCAUCAUUGAAACCGAAACUAUAAUGAAGGAAGGACGUUCAAUCAUCAUUUUUUGCAUGUCCAUCAAAAAUGUCAAUCUCGUCCAUCAACGUUUAAUGAAUUCCUUUCCUGAUCUGGUAAAAAAAAAUCACCUUCAUCGCUACACGCGCGAUUAUGUGAAAUUUGCAUUCGAAAGAACAGAGCUGGACAUUGAGCAUGUUAUCGUUGCCACCAACUUGGCUGGACGAGGAACGGACAUAAAAAUCAGCCAAAAACUACGUGACAAUGGAGGAUUGCAUGUGUGUCUCAGUUAUUUCCCCGAGACUAAACGAAUAGAGGAACAAGCGAUGGGCCGUGCAGCUCGCAAUGGAGCACCUGGAAGUGGAAUCCUCAUUGCAUGCAAACCAAGUUCGUCCGAACGUUUGGCGCCUGACGAAAGGGAACCGAUAGAAAUAAUGAAAAAUGAGCGUGAAAUUCGAGAGAAACAACGCAUCGCUCGGAUGAAGGAAGAUUUUAAGUUUAUGAAAGAUCAGAUGGAAUUAAUUGAUCCGUUUUCAAAAUAUUAUACCAACCUCAAAGAACAACGGCGGAAGAAAAAGGACGGUGAUCAGAUAGUGAGUGCCAUCUGUGGAAGCGUGUUGGAUCAAUGGGCUUUGUGGCUGGACAAAAUGAACGAUUCCUCAUUAGAUGUGAAAAAAUAUUCAUAUUCAGAAAAAUUCAUCCCAAAAUUGAAAGCCGUCGAGCAAGACAAUUUGGAUAUCAGCCAAGUCGAGUGGAUGACACCAGCCCGCUUAGUUGUUGUUGCCAGACAUUUGGCUACGCGUCAUAAAAAGCCGGACCUCCCAAAGGCAGUCGAAAUUUUGGAAGAACUCAUCCAAUCGAAAGAUCGUCAUUUUUAUCCUGCCGCUUUCUACUAUCGCGCAUUCAUUCUCCUAAAGGAAAACUACGAAACCAACAAAAAUGAAUUCAUUAAACUAUUGCGUACGUGUGAAAACGUGUUGAGCGAGCACAUCAACUUGCAUUUUUCCAUCGUCCAAAAAAUGGGCAGAAAAACUAAUCAGCCGCCUUUGUUUUGUGUAGUCGACGGCUACACGCAGCAAAAAGAGAACGUGAUUAACCUGUUUCAGUAUUUCCUUGGCUCGGUUCGUUCAUUGCUGGGCACUGAUUGCUCCAUCGAAGACUUUGAAGCAGCAGGAGAGUUGCCAAAAGAAAUGAAGGGAUUUUUAAAAAAAAAUCUAAAUAACUUUGAAAAAUGGAUUCAACGAGAAAUUCAUGAAAACUUCAAAGUUUUCCAGGAAAAAGACGUAAAGAACAAAGACCCAAAGAAUUUAACAAUUCCAGCUGAAAAAGUGGAGGAAUACUUCAAGUUAUUGUUGGAGGGCGAGUCCAAAUGUAUUGGUCAUCAGCUGAAUGAAGCCAGCACCAUACCAAGUUGGAACUCUUCCUUCGAACGAUACGCAAAAUUAAAUCGAGAGCUGGCGAUUCAACGAGUAGCAAAUGCCUAUGGUGUCUGUGCAUUGACUUUAGAAACAUCGCUAAGGCAAGCGAUACAAAAAGAACUUUGCAGAGAGGAUAUUGAAAAAGAAAUUGAACGCGAAAUGGAAGAGAAAUUUAAAAAAGACAAUCUAAUUCCUUGCACGAGGGAGUCGUUUUGGGCGAAAUUAGUUGAAAGUGGAGCGUUGUAUAACAACCAAAAUUUCGUCGCCGUGGAUGAGGGCAACGUUGACACAUUCAACUUAAACCGCGAGGAAGCCAAAACAUUUCACUUUGAAGACAAAGAUUACGUCCUCUACAAUCCCAUUGAUGUUAACAGCAAGAACGGAGGAGAAAAGAAAAUCUUUUUCACUCAAAAGUACGUUGAAGACACUCUUUAUGGUAAUCGUAUGAACAACACAAGUCGAGAUCAAAUACAGUUCAACAAGAUCGCCAAAGUUGAUGUAAAUAAACUCAAAUCAGUUGAUUUAAGGCUAUUUGGUCAGUUGAAAGACGAUCAUUUACGUGAGGCUGACAUCAUUCAGGCUGAACGUCAAGGAAUUCUGGACGAGUUGAAAAUGCAAGACAUCAUUGACGACGACGGUAAUCUCUCAUCCAACUACAAUGGCCAAAAAUUUCAAUACCCAAACUGUCGUGCUUAUGAAAAAACUGUCAUGUGUUUAUUGGCGACGAAAUUACGCGCUGAAAUAGUUAGACGACGGUGGCUGAAUAGCAAAGACAAUUCAGAUCGCCUCGAAGCCAUCAAUUUGCUUCCUUUGACAACUUAUCGAGAUAUGCUGGAUGACUUGAUUGACGCCUACGUCAUCAGUGGCGGGUUCCGGGUGAAGACCAUUGACGAAAAUGUCCUAAAAAGUAAAGUGAAUGGAAUCACCGAAAAAGAUGAGGAGCGCGAGUGUAUUUUGGAUUUCUUGAAAAGUCGGCAAGCAAUUUACGACGCAACUUGGUUGGCAAGUCAAGAGGCAGCGCUCGAUUUUAUCGACGGCGACAUCCGCAAGGUAAAAGCCAACACCUUCGAAAGCGAAUUGUGCCUUUUUCGUUCGAUUGGAUUCGAUCAUGUCAUUUACAUGAAGGAUCGCCAAAUGUCCAGGAAACAGAUGGUCUUGUCAUCGCUGUUUACACCGCUCAUUGUCAUCGGUGGAGUUGCCUCGAUUAGUGCUGGAGCUGUCUUGACUAUCUUUAGUAAAAUCUUGCCGUUGCGUGUCACGAAAGAUUUGCUUCUCAUGGGUGGUCUCUCUGACAUCAUCUUCGUCAUUACUUCUGCUUUAUCAAAUGACCCAAUCAGAUGUCCUGAUUAUGCGCGCCAGAGGAUCAGGGGCGCAUUAGGAAAAUCGAAUCUAGUAGACCAAGUCAAAACUCUGUGGAAGUUAUCGACACCUGGAAAACUUGCUGGUAAUAACUUUAGACCUGCUGUUCGAUUGCAAAUGGACACUUUUCAGCAACGGCGAGUAAGAGAGAAGAAUCACGAAGCGGAUCAACGAGAGAUUGUCAACGCGUUACUUCGGCUCGAGAAAAAAUCGACACAUCCAAGUGAAGAAGAUGAUGGCGACCUCGCCCAGGAAACGUAGAACUUGCCUUCGCUUUAAAACCAUAUUAGCAGGAAGAGUGAUGGAAGUUGGAAUGAACUGACCUAGGACUUCUACAUUACAAAUUUCUAUUGCAGGUUAAAUGCAAUAUCAUUUUAAUUUAGAAUGGGCCGAAAACUAAGGUAACAGGUAUAGAAAUAGCAUUUUAAAAAAAGGUAUUUGAUGUUAUCAAAUCCAAUAGAGCUUGUGUUAAUCAUUUUAGAAAUGGCGAAAUAGAUGAAUUAAACUAAUCAAAUUACGAGGGAAAUGUUUCAGUUUUUACAGGGCUUCUAAUACGUGGCCUGUUGCGCCAGAAGUAAACAAGUGCUGGGCCAUUAGAUUUCGGAAAUUUAUUUCAGUUACAACUCUUUGCUAAUUGUAGUCAGAAUUGGUACAAUAUUGAAAUAUAGAAUUGCAUUGUAAAGCCAAAGCAAGAAACGCGGCUGCCUUAUGACAUUGGACGCUGCAAGAGAUUGGCAAUCGAAAGAGUUGGGUAAUGUCGAUAUCUUGCGUGAGACAUUUGGGCAUUGGGAACGAUUGCGUGGAAUAAUUUAAUUCCGUGCCUGAUGCAGACACAAGUCGCUCCCCAGUUAUCAACAUGCAG